This 468-nucleotide ribosomal RNA is filed under the name uncultured bacterium. RNAcentral describes it as "partial 16S ribosomal RNA". It matches the Rfam family "Bacterial small subunit ribosomal RNA", at positions 28 to 507 of the family's 1533-position model. The record is from RNAcentral.
GACGAACGCUGGCGGCGUGCUUAACACAUGCAAGUCGAACGGAAAGGCCCUGCUUUUGUGGGGUGCUCGAGUGGCGAACGGGUGAGUAACACGUGAGUAACCUGCCCUUGACUUUGGGAUAACUUCAGGAAACUGGGGCUAAUACCGGAUAGGAGCUCCUGCCGCAUGGUGGGGGUUGGAAAGUUUCGGCGGUUGGGGAUGGACUCGCGGCGUAUCAGCUUGUUGGUGGGGUAGUGGCUUACCAAGGCUUUGACGGGUAGCCGGCCUGAGAGGGUGACCGGCCACAUUGGGACUGAGAUACGGCCCAGACUCCUACGGGAGGCAGCAGUGGGGAAUAUUGCACAAUGGGCGGAAGCCUGAUGCAGCAACGCCGCGUGCGGGAUGACGGCCUUCGGGUUGUAAACCGCUUUCGCCUGUGACGAAGCGUGAGUGACGGUAAUGGGUAAAGAAGCACCGGCUAACUACGUG